This 253-nucleotide ribosomal RNA is filed under the name uncultured bacterium. RNAcentral describes it as "partial 16S ribosomal RNA". It matches the Rfam family "Bacterial small subunit ribosomal RNA", at positions 524 to 776 of the family's 1533-position model. The record is from RNAcentral.
UACGGAGGGUGCAAGCGUUAUCCGGAUUCACUGGGUUUAAAGGGUGCGUAGGUGGGCAGGUAAGUCAGUGGUGAAAUCUUUGGGCUUAACCCGAAAACUGCCAUUGAUACUAUUUGUCUUGAAUAUUGUGGAGGUCAGCGGAAUAUGUCAUGUAGCGGUGAAAUGCUUAGAUAUGACAUAGAACACCAAUAGCGAAGGCAGCUUACUACGCAGUUAUUGACACUGAGGCUCGAAAGCGUGGGGAUCAAACAGG